CCUACGGGCGGCAGCAGUGAGGAAUAUUGGUCAAUGGGCGCGAGCCUGAACCAGCCAAGUCGCGUGAGGGAAGACGGCCCUAUGGUUUGUAAACUUCUUUUAUAAAGGAAUAUAACGAGGCACGUGUGCCUUUUUGCAUGUACUUUAUGAAUAAGGAUCGGCUAACUCCGUGCCAGCAGCGGCGGUAAUACGGAGGAUCCGAGCGUUAUCCGGAUUUAUUGGGUUUAAAGGGAGCGUAGAUGGGUUGUUAAGUCAGUUGUGAAAGUUUGCGGCUCAACCGUAAAAUUGCAAUUGAUACUGGCAGUCUUGAGUACAGUUGAGGUAGGCGGAAUUCGUGGUGUAGCGGUGAAAUGCGUAGAUAUCACGAAGAACCCCGAUUGCGAAGGCAGCUUACUAAACUGUGACUGACAUUGAUGCUCGAAAGUGUGGGUAUCAAACAGGAUUAGAUACCCCUGUAGUC
Molecule: ribosomal RNA, 460 nt
Filed under: uncultured bacterium
Lineage: Bacteria
Description: partial 16S ribosomal RNA
Rfam family: Bacterial small subunit ribosomal RNA
Source: RNAcentral